This 403-nucleotide ribosomal RNA is filed under the name uncultured bacterium. RNAcentral describes it as "partial 16S ribosomal RNA". It matches the Rfam family "Bacterial small subunit ribosomal RNA", at positions 29 to 526 of the family's 1533-position model. The record is from RNAcentral.
AUUGAACGCUGGCGGCAGGCCUAACACAUGCAAGUCGAGCGAGCGGCGGACGGGUGAGUAAUGUAUGGGGACUGCCCGCUAGAGGGGGAUAACUACUGGAAACGGUAGCUAAUACCGCAUACUAUCGGAUAACCCAUAUGGGAUAAGCUAGUGGGUGAGGUAAUGGCUCACCUAGGCGACGAGCCCUAGCUGGUCUGAGAGGAUGAUCAGCCACACUGGGAUGGAGACAGGGCCCAGACUCCUACGGAGGCAGCAGGGGGGAAUAUUGCACAAUGGGCGCAGGCCUGAUGCAGACAUGCGGCGGGUAGGAAGAAGGCCCUAGGGUUGUAAAGUCCUUUCAGUCGGGAGGCGUUACCGACAGAGGAAGCACCGGCUAACUCCGUGCCAGCCGCCGCGGUAAUAC